CACAAUUUCUGGGUUGUUAAUACAUGUAUGUGUAACCAGGUUUGGUGAUGUUUUAUUCCCCUGCCAUGAAAUAUCCAUCAUUCUUUCAUUUCAUCAUUAUAUCAUUGUUGGUUUUGCGGAUUUUUAUUUGCUGUGCUUGUAGAUAAUGAGCUGGUCUUUGGUAUGUCUCUUUAUAUGGAUGACAUGCAGAUCAGGUUUGUUGAUAUGCUUCAUGAUGAUUGGCCUAUUUUCACCCAAGUUAUUGCUCUUAGACUUCGAAAAUUACUAAUUAUUCACUGCAUUUCAGACUUUUUCUUUGCUGUGCUUGUAGAUAAUGAACUGAGUUUUUGUAUGUCUCUCGAAAGAUCAAGUUUUGAGUUUCUUGUUGAUUUGUCUAUUUUCACUAAAAGAUAAAGUCUUAUUAUAGACUUUGAAAAUUUUUAAUUAUUAGCUGUUUUCUGGACUUUUUAGCUCACCUGCGCCAAAGGCUCAAGUGAGCUUUUCUGAUAAAAAUUUGUCCGUUGUCUGUUGUCGUCGGUGUCGUCGUAGUCGUUGUAAACUUUUCACAUUUUCAUCUUCAUCUCCAAAACCACUGGGUCAAUUUCAACCAAACUUGGCCAAAAGCAUUCUUGGGUGAAGGGCUUUCAAGUUUGUUCAAAUGAAGGGCCAUGCCCCCAUGAAAGGGGGAGAUAAUCACAAAAAUGUAAAAUUAGGGUAGGGUCAUUUAAAAAUCUUCUUCUUAAGAACCACUGGGCCAGAGAAGCUGACAUUUCCAUAAAAGCUUCCUGAUAGAGUGCAGAUUCAAGUUUGUUCAAAUCAGGGCCCCAGAGGGUAGGAUGGGGCCACAAUAGGGGAUCAAAGUUUUACAUAGAAAUAUAUAGGGAAAAUCUUUAAAAAUCCUCUUCUCAAGAACCGAUGAGCCAGAAGAGCUAAGAUUUACAUGAAAGCUUCCUGACAUAGUGCAAAUUAAAGUUUGUUCAAAUCAUGGCCCCCGGGAGUAGGUUGGGGUCACAAUAGGACAUCAAAGUUUUACAUGAGAAUAAAUAAAGAAACUCUUUAGAAAUCUUCUUCUCAAGAUCCAAUGGUCCAGAAGAGCUGACAUUUAGAUGAAAGCUUCCUGACAUAGUGCAGAUUCAAGUUUGUUCAAAUCAUGGCCCCUGGGGUAGGUUGAGGCCACAAUAGGGGAUCAAAGUUUUAAAGAGAAAUAUAUAGAGAAAAUCUUUAAAAAUCUUCUUCUCAAGAACCAUUGGGCCAAAGAAGUUGACAUUUACAUGAAAGCUUCCUGACAUGGUGCAGAUUCAAGUUUUUAAAAAUCAUAGCCUCCAGGGGUAGGUUGGGGACACAAUAGGGACUAAGGUUUUACAUGCAAAUAUAUAUGGAAAGUCUUCAGAUAUGGGCCAAGGUGACUCAGGUGAGCAAUGUGGCCCAUGGGCCUCUUGUUUCUUUGAUGUUCUUUUAAACGAUAAGCAGAUUUUUAGUUUGUACCUUUAUAAUAAUAACACACAGAUCAAUUUUCACCUUCCUUAGUAAUCAAAUAGUAUCUUACUAAUUCAUUAUAAGAUCUAUCAUGCACUUUCAUUUCCUUAAAGACUAAAUUAAAUGUAAUUCUCUUCUAAUGGUUCAAGAAAACAAAAGCACCGUAUGAUAUGCUAUUUUUGUUUCAUUUGAACCCACUCAUUGUUAUUUGCACAUCCCCGGACUUUCAGAUAUUUUAAACUUUACAGCCAGCAGGGGCAUUUGUAUCACACCGACACAUUUUGUUUCCACAUUGCAGUUUGGCAACUUUGUGUUUUUGAUAAGCAUAAUUAUUUCCCAGGACCCACUUUUAAAAAAAUCCUUUCAUUAUGAUAAUUUAUUACUUCCUUCAGUUUGUGAAUAUUGUUGGUAUUUGUUUUAUAGUAAAAGUCCACCAGAAAAGCAUGCACAAUUAAUUGUAUUCAAUGACCAUACUUUAAGUGUGAGUCAGACAUUUUGUACUAGAUGUACAUGUAAAUUCUUUCUAAAGCAGGACCUUGUUGAUAUGUCUACAAAAUGCAGGUGUUUUGAGUCAUUUGUUAGAUCAACAGUCAUAUUUAUGAAGUAACAUACUUCUUUAAUCAUCAGAUUUUGGAUUUUACACAUUUUCUCAUGUUUCAUUAAAGUGUAGGUUUAGAACCAUCUUUAAUACCUUUAACUUUCAACUAAUAUUCCUUUGCCAGUUUGAUUAAGCUGUAUUUUCAUAUGCAUGUAUACAAGUGUGAGUCAAUAAGUAACCAGCCUAACUUAUUUCUGGUGGAGAUCCACCUCUUCUUUUUCGAUGUAAUUGCCCUCUAUUGUGAUGCACUUAGACCAACGGUGUUCAAGUGCCAUCAGCCCAGAA
Long non-coding RNA from Ostrea edulis (European flat oyster), 2338 nucleotides. RefSeq lists it as uncharacterized. The record is from RefSeq and is a predicted model, not a curated record. NCBI's taxonomy places the organism in Eukaryota, Metazoa, Mollusca, Bivalvia, Ostreida, Ostreidae. The transcript is spliced from 2 exons.